CGGAGAGGGCGAGCGUUAUUCGGAAUUAUUGGGCGUAAAGGGCGCGUAGGUGGCCCUGUAAGUCAAAGGUGAAAUCCCUCGGCUCAACCGAGGAAUUGCCCUUGAGACUGCAGGGCUUGAGGCCGGGAGGGGGUAGCGGAAUUCCCAGUGUAGCGGUGAAAUGCGUAGAUACUGGGAGGAACACCGGUGGCGAAGGCGGCUACCUGGACCGGUUCUGACACUGAUGCGCGAAAGCGUGGGUAGCAAACAGGAUUAGAUACCCUGGUAGUCCACGCUGUAAACGAUGGGUGCUCGGUAUCGCGGGUAUCGACCCCUGCGGUGCCUUAGCUAACGCGUUAAGCACCCCGCCUGGGGAGUACGGUCGCAAGGCUG
This 372-nucleotide ribosomal RNA is filed under the name uncultured organism. Its description in RNAcentral is "bacterial SSU rRNA". It matches the Rfam family "Bacterial small subunit ribosomal RNA", at positions 526 to 896 of the family's 1533-position model. The record is from RNAcentral.